This 382-nucleotide unclassified non-coding RNA is filed under the name Hevea brasiliensis (rubber tree). The record is from RNAcentral. Lineage: Eukaryota; Viridiplantae; Streptophyta; Magnoliopsida; Malpighiales; Euphorbiaceae.
GGAAAUGGAAGACUUUCUGAGUGGUCCAUCCAUACUCGGGAACUCUCAUCUGAAUCCGGAUUAAUUGCACAAGAGCAACAGCAGAAACGACGCCGUAUAAGAUCGCAAGGACAUAGAAAAUACGGUCUUGCCAAAUAGGAGAUUCAUUCACUUCAUCCCACCAGCUUAUUGCCUCAUGUAAACGGUACGCCGCCACCGCAGCCGUCGACGACGGGUCCACCGCUGUUUCAACCCGACCCAUCGCCGGAGAUCCGAAAUUAGACACACCAAAAAAUACGAAAUAAAUGAAAUUUUAGAGAAUUUUUUGUUUGAUCGGAAAAUUAUUGAGCCUAAAACGGCCGGCGAGAAAGGAGAGAAACACGGCGGCGUUCCCUGAACGUUC